UCCCUUGUAGCUCAGUUGGUAAAGAAUCUGCUUGCAAUGCAGGAGACCCAGGUUCGAUCCCUGGGUUGGGAA
Molecule: transfer RNA, 72 nt
Filed under: Ovis aries (sheep)
Lineage: Eukaryota; Metazoa; Chordata; Mammalia; Artiodactyla; Bovidae
Rfam family: tRNA
About the family: Transfer RNA (tRNA) molecules are approximately 80 nucleotides in length. Their secondary structure includes four short double-helical elements and three loops (D, anti-codon, and T loops).
Source: Rfam by way of RNAcentral